CUUAAGGAAGAGGACAUUGCUUUAUAAAAAGGGGCGUGGCUUAAGAAAAGGGGGCGUGGCUUAAGGAAGAUGCAAUAGCUUUAUGAAAAGGGGCGUGGCUUAAGAAGGGGGCGUGGCUUAAGGAAGAUGCAAUUGCUUUAUAAAAGGGGGCGUGGCUUAAGAAGGGGGCGUGGCUUGGGCCGGUUUGGCGGGACCCGCAGUUGAAAUAAAAGGGAAUUUUCGGGCUCGGCCCCAAAAUCCGCGGAUUUCGCCCCAAAAUCCGGAAUUUGCCGCAGGGGUGCCCCGGGGCCGCCCCUCCCCCACCAUGGCCGAGCAUCUGCAGCUCCUGGAGGGCGAAGGGUUCCUGGAUCUGUGGAACAUGCUGCCCAAUAACAUCGGUUCCAUGCCUGAGGAUCUGCUGGAAUGGGUGAGCACCAAAAAUUGGGGUCAAAUCUCCAAAAAAUGGGAAAAAUUCCCCAAAAAAUCCCCAAGGUGGGGAGGGAACCCCAAAAGGGAUUGGGGGUGUUCAAAAUCCCCCCAAAAUUGGGAUUUUCCACCCCCAAAAUUUGAAUUUUCUGCCCCAAAAUUGGGAUUUUCCGACCCCAAAAUUGGAAUUUUCUGCCCCAAAAUUGGGAUUUUUUUUCCUCAAAAUUGGGAUUUUUUCACCCCCAAAAUUGGGAUUUUCCACCCCCAAAAUUUGAAUUUUCUGCCCCAGAAUUGGGAUUUUCCACCCCAAAAUUGGGAUUUUUUGCCCCAAAAUUGGGAUUUUUUGUCCCAAAAUUGGGAUUUUUCACCCCAAAAUUGGGAUUUUUCACCCCCAAAAUUUGAAUUUUUUGCCCCAAAAUUGGGAUUUUUUCACCCCCAAAAUUGGAAUUUUUUUACCCCCAAAAUUUGUAUUUUUUGUCCCAAAAUUGGGAUUUUUUCACCCCAAAAUUGGGAUUUUUCACCCCCAAAAUUUGUAUUUUUUGUCCCAAAAUUGGGAUUUUUCACCCCAAAAUUGGGAUUUUUCUACCCCCAAAAUUUGAAUUUUUUGUCCCAAAAUUGGGAUUUUUUCACCCCCAAAAUUGGGAUUUUUUUUACCCCCCAAA
This is a long non-coding RNA of Camarhynchus parvulus, 1067 nucleotides long. Lineage: Eukaryota; Metazoa; Chordata; Aves; Passeriformes; Thraupidae. The record is from Ensembl.